UGUCUGAGCCAUGCAGGGAGAGGAGGAAGGCGCCAGCCAACCCACCUUCUGCACCAGAAGGUGCUCUUGUACGUAGUCGGCCACCGCAUCCCAGACGGCAACUCGCUCUGGAGGGCAAAGAAAAGCAGGUCACACUCUGCAUCUGCCGCUUCCCGGCACCGCUACCGCUGCCAGGCGGGAGUGAGGUGGCAGAUGGGAAGUGUCGUCUCCGUCCCGAGCUUGGCUGCAGCAGCCGUGCUGUGGUGGCUCUGGACCCGUGUACCUUGGGUGUCGGUGCAUGUGGGUCUGGAGGCACACCGCGCUGCGGGGCCAUCCUUGCAGAAGCUCAUCC
RNAcentral lists this long non-coding RNA (331 nucleotides) under Gallus gallus (chicken). The record is from RNAcentral. Lineage: Eukaryota; Metazoa; Chordata; Aves; Galliformes; Phasianidae.